This 1729-nucleotide ribosomal RNA is filed under the name Candidatus Gottesmanbacteria bacterium RIFCSPLOWO2_01_FULL_42_10. RNAcentral's name for it is "bacterial SSU rRNA". It matches the Rfam family "Bacterial small subunit ribosomal RNA". Lineage: Bacteria; Candidatus Gottesmaniibacteriota. The record is from RNAcentral.
UUUUUUUUGAGAGUUUGAUCCUGGCUCAGGAUGAACGCUGGCGGUAUGCCUUAAGCAUGCAAGUCGAACGAUCUUGUCCUUUGGACAAGAAUUUUCAAAUUAUCCAAUAAUCCAAUAAAUACCAAUUAUCCAAUAAGAGCAAAAUUCUUAUUUGAUUAUUUGAGAAUUGGAUUAUUUGUUGAUUGGAAAUUCUCGCCCAGAGGGCGAGGUAGUGGCAGACGGGUGAGUAAUAGUAAGGAACGUACCCCAAGGUCAAGUAUAGCCUUCCGAAAGGAGGGGUAAUACUGGAUAGUUCCCGAUUUAAUCGGGUAAAGCACGUAACUGUGCGCCAUGGGAGCGGCCUUAUUCCUAUCAGCUUGUUGGUAGGGUAAAAGCCUACCAAGGCGAUGACGGGUAGGGGGCGUGAGAGCGUGACCCCCCACAAUGGCACUGAGACACGGGCCAUACACCUACGGGUGGCAGCAACUGGGAAUAGUUGUCAAUGGACGAAAGUCUGAACACGCGAUACCGCGUGAGGGAUGAAGUAUCUCGGUAUGUAAACCUCUUUUGCCAGAUCAUCGAGAUUUGGCGAAUAAGCACCUACAAACUACGUGCCAGCAGUCGCGGUAAUACGUAGGGUGCAAGCGUUAUCCGGAUUUACUGGGCGUAAAGUGUCGCGUAGGCGACUUCUUGUGUCACAUCUUAAAGAGUAAGGCUUAACCUUGCCGUUGGAUGUGAGACUAAGAAGAUUUGAAGAAGAGAGGAGUACCUGGAACUGACGGUGGAGUAGUGAAAUGCGUUGAUAUCGUCAGGAACACCAAAAGCGAAGGCAAGGUACCGGCUCUUUCUUGACGCUGAGGCACGAAAGCUAGGGGAGCGAAGCAGAUUAGAGACCUGCGUAGUCCUAGCCCUAAACGCAUGGAUGCUAGAUACCCCGUCGCAAAACCUAUGGGUUUUGCGACGAAAUCAAAAAUCAAAAUGUCCUGCAGAGCAGGAUCUGGCUUUGCCAGACAAAAUUCAAAAAUAUACAAGGUAUCCCUUCGGGACUAUUUAUAAAUUUGUCCUUGUUAAAUUUUGAUCUUUGACUUUUGAAUUUUAGAUUUCGCAAAAACGUAGUUUUUGCGAUGGGGUGUCGCAAGCUAACGCGUUAAGCAUCCCGCCUGGGGAGUACGAACGCAAGUUUAAAACUCAAAGGAAUUGACGGGGACCCGCACAACCAGUGGAGCAUGUGGUUCAAUUCGAGACGAAGCGAAAGACCUCACCAGGGUUCGACAUGUAACUGCAUGUCUAAGAAAUUAGGCAGCCUUCGAGGGUGUUACAAAGCUGCUGCAUGGCUGUCGUCAGCUCNNNNNNNNNNNNUCUUUUUGAACUCACGAGUUCAAAAAGAGUUGCUUAGUUAUUAGUUAAUUAGUUACUUAGUAAUUUUCUAAGUAACUAAGCAUCUAAUCAACUAUGUAACUCAAAUUCGUAGAGUUUGAAAAGAAGCGGGAGGAAGGAGGGGACGACGUCAAGUCAGCACGGCGCUUAUGCCCUGGGCAACACACAUCCUACAAUGGCGAAAAACAACGAGAUGCAAGCUCGCGAGUGCAAGCCAAUCUCUGAAAUUUCGCCUCAGUUCAGAUUGCAGUCUGCAACUCGACUGCAUGAAGCCGGAAUUGGUAGUAAUCGCAGAUCAGCAUGGCUGCGGUGAAUACGUUCUCGGGUCUUGUACACACCGCCCGUCAAGUCAACAAAGUUGGAAGUAGCUGAA